Molecule: ribosomal RNA, 659 nt
Filed under: uncultured bacterium
Lineage: Bacteria
Description: bacterial SSU rRNA
Rfam family: Bacterial small subunit ribosomal RNA
Source: RNAcentral
AGUGGCGGACGGGUGAGUAACGCGUGAGAUCUGCCUUGGGGUCGGGGACAACCACUGGAAACGGUGGCUAAUACCGGAUAAGCCGAUUGGUGAAAGAUUUAUUGCCCGAAGAGGAGCUCGCGUCUGAUUAGCUAGUUGGUGAGGUAAGAGCUCACCAAGGCAGCGAUCAGUAGCUGGUCUGAGAGGACGAUCAGCCACACUGGGACUGAGACACGGCCCAGACUCCUACGGGAGGCAGCAGUGGGGAAUUUUCCGCAAUGGGCGAAAGCCUGACGGAGCAAGACCGCGUGAGGGAGGAAGGCUCUUGGGUUGUAAACCUCUUUUCUCAGGGAAGAAGCUCUGACGGUACCUGAGGAAUCAGCCUCGGCUAACUCCGUGCCAGCAGCCGCGGUAAUACGGAGGAGGCAAGCGUUAUCCGGAAUUAUUGGGCGUAAAGCGUCCGCAGGUGGCGAUUCAAGUCUGCUGUCAAAGCACGGGGCUUAACUCCGUAAAGGCAGUGGAAACUGAAUAGCUAGAGUGCCGUAGGGGUAGAGGGAAUUCCCGGUGUAGCGGUGAAAUGCGUAGAGAUCGGGAAGAACAUCGGUGGCGAAAGCGCUCUACUGGACGGCAACUGACACUCAGGGACGAAAGCUAGGGGAGCGAAUGGGAUUAGAUACCCC